RNAcentral lists this non-coding RNA (30 nucleotides) under Rattus norvegicus (Norway rat). The record is from RNAcentral. Lineage: Eukaryota; Metazoa; Chordata; Mammalia; Rodentia; Muridae.
UUCUCUAGGAAAUGCAGAACACAGCACAAG